Molecule: non-coding RNA, 93 nt
Filed under: Peptoniphilus indolicus
Lineage: Bacteria; Bacillati; Bacillota; Tissierellia; Tissierellales; Peptoniphilaceae
Also listed under: 1 other name
Description: TPP sequence
Rfam family: TPP riboswitch aptamer (THI element)
About the family: Vitamin B(1) in its active form thiamin pyrophosphate (TPP) is an essential coenzyme that is synthesised by coupling of pyrimidine and thiazole moieties in bacteria.
Source: RNAcentral
UAGAUUCACUAGGGGAGCGAAAGCUGAGAAUUGUAAAAUGACCCUUGGAACCUGAUAGAUAAUUCUAGCGUAGGGAAGUGUUAAAUACUUGGA